CAAUAAGGGCGGGAAGUGGAUGCCGAGCAAAGAUAGGAUACCUGGACAAGGAGCGGCUUCUAGCAGACUUCUAGGAUGGCAGCACUCUAAGGUACGAGGGUGCAUGAAUAAAUCGAAUCACAUAUCGAAAUGGGGCAGGGAAUGGUUGAUACAUAGAUGUAAAGAGUUGAAACUAAUCAUAUGAGGCGUCUUUUAGUUGUUUGGC
RNAcentral lists this long non-coding RNA (205 nucleotides) under Ricinus communis (castor bean). RNAcentral describes it as "long non-coding RNA (RCOM_LNC001591)". Lineage: Eukaryota; Viridiplantae; Streptophyta; Magnoliopsida; Malpighiales; Euphorbiaceae. The record is from RNAcentral.